Molecule: non-coding RNA, 2444 nt
Organism: Camellia sinensis
Lineage: Eukaryota; Viridiplantae; Streptophyta; Magnoliopsida; Ericales; Theaceae
Source: RefSeq, a predicted model, not a curated record
UACCUUCGAGUGCCUUUGCUUUUGGUUUUUCCUCCACCAAAUUUGCAGUUGCAUUAACUUAUAUAAUGCUGCAUUGUUGACUUGUCUUAAAUAAUGAAUCAUAAAAAAAGCUUAUUACAUUAUUAUUAUUGUUAUUGUUAUUUAACUUGAGACUCAUAGCAUUAAAUAACUUUCUAUUUCCUUUAUAUAUCUUUUAUUUUAUAUUUUAUACUGUAUUUUAUAUUUUAUUUUAGAAACUCUCUCAUAAAUAGCAUUGACUAGGUAUGAAUGGGUCUUAGAAUAUGAUGAUCUUGUUCUCUUACCAGUUUGACCUUCUUGCUGAUCUAGUUUUAAUGUAAUCCAAUGCUUCAGAGUUUCUGAAACAAUAUAGUCACUUAGCACUAUCUGUCAUUAUUGAUCUCUCCAUUCUCUAUAAUGUUUGAUAUAAAACAAUAUGUCUAUAAUGGUUAUUUUUUUAAUCAUGAUAACUUGAAUAUGUGGAGCUUGACCGACUUGUGUAAUCAAGCCUAAAUAAAUGAUUUAUGCAUAGAGUUAUGGUGAGUUUAACAAACAAAAACUCUUUACUUUGUUUUUUCUCCCUUCAGAAUUUUGAUAGGUAUAUUUUCUGUACCCCCGUUCCUUGGGUGGUCAUCAGAUGUUAAGAGAGGAAGGGAAUUCAACUAGGAAGCACGGAUACGUGAUACAGAUAUGAUAUGAUAUGGAUACGGCGAUACGACAAAAUUUGAAAAAUUAGGAUAUGGGUACGGCGGGGAUACGUUUGUAAAAAAUAUUAUUUUUAUAAUUUUUAGUAAUGUAGUAUGUAUAAAAAUAAAACCUAAAGUAAAAGAUUAUACUUUUUUCCAUGAUUUUAUUACCAAUUCGUUAAAUAUCUUCCUCCAUUCAAGAUUAUACUUUUUUCCUCCCUGUUAAAUUCAUCCAAUUUGCCAAUAAAUAAAUAAAUAAAAUUCACAUUCACAGAUAUGUUUUCUGCAACAAUUUUUGACUUUUAACCUGAAGCAUAAAACAUGUUGUGAAAAGCACAUCCUAACAACUGCUCAAUUGAAUUUCCAGUUUUCCCCUUUCUACUGACAAAGGGAGACACAGAUAACAUAUUCCUUUCAAUUUCAUAUUUUUCUGACUAACCAACCAGAGAUGGCUAAUACCAAACUUUUAAAAGAAAAUGGGAAUUAUAAUUUUACAAUAAAAUAUAGCAAAUUAAGCUAAAAGUACUAACCGCCAAAUAGACAAAACCCUAUGCCCUAAUUGCAUACCCAUCUCCCAUGAUCUGAGUAAGAAAAAAGGGGUUAGUACAGUGAGAGGGAGAGAGAGUGAGAUUAAGUGAGAUGAAGAGAUAGAGAGUGAGCGAGAUUGAGCGAGAGGAAGAGAGAGAUCGAGGGAGAGGGAGAGAGAGAGAGUGAGAUUGAGUGAGAGAGAGGGACUGAGAUUGAGUGACACUGACAGAAAAGUGGGAGAGUGAGAGUGAGCAAGCAAGAGAGAGCAAGAGAGAAUGAGAGAGAGUGAGAGCGAGAAAGGACGAACCUUGGUCGACGUCGACGACGACGACUCAGAGUUGCUGCUGUUCGCGAAUUGCUAUAGAGACGACGACGUUGUUGCUGCUGUUCGAGUUGUUGUUGCUGUUCGAGUUUGAGAGUGAGAGGAACUAGGGUUUGUUUGUUUGAUUUUUUUGUUUUAUUUUAGAUUGUUUUUGUUAAUUUACAUUUUGACCCCAUUACAAACACGGCUGCACGACAAUUUAAAAAAAUACAAGACACGACACUUCGAGGACACACACAAAAUAUGUAGUUUUAUAUUUUAUUAUAUAUCAUAUAUAUAAAUAAAUCAUUCAAAGAUAAUAAAAAAUAUAACAUGAUACUAUUUUUUUCAAUUUACUCUUUUUGUUUUCUAUUUGCGAUAAUCUAACCUUUUCAAUUAAUAUUCUGCAAUCAAUCUAGUAAUAAAAAAAAGGAUUUAGUUUUUUGAAAUUAAAGAAUUGAAAUUGAGUCGAAAUUAAACAUUUUAUGAAUAAUUUGAUCUAAUAGAAAUUAGUUUAUGAAAUUUAACUUUUUGGAAUAAACUUUAAUAUUUCCAUAUACGUUAUUUUUUAUUAGUGGUGGAAAUGUUUUGAAAUACAAGUUAACAUAACACGAAUCCCAAAUGACAUGACACAAUAACACGAAAAAACAAACAGGUUGAGUUAGUGUUGAAAGAAUUCUGACUUGAACACGAGAUAGCACGACACAAAAAUGAGCAACACGUCACGACCAUGGUUGUCAAGAUCGCGAUCCAGAUCGUACGAUCCUACGAUCCAAUAUACACCAUUUGAUCCGACUUAUGCUUUGGAUCGACCCCAGAUCAGGAUCGUGGUAGGAUCAUGGAAGGAUUGUUGGGAUCGUAUCUGGAUCGUGACUCCAUGCAUUCUAGAUUUGAAGGGUUUUUUGGCGACUUAAAAGCAAAGAACCUUUUGU